GAACAUUAUUCGUCGUUCCAGACCAUAAAAUAAACAAUCGUUCCCUCCAGUUGCUUUCUGAAGCAGAUCUACAAGAAAUCGAAAUUACUGCUGUGGGACCACGGAAAACCAUACUUGCAACUAUUGGUAAAUUACGUGCAGCUCAAUCACAAGCUGGCGAAAACGAAGGACCCCGUGACGAGGUAUGUAACUGCUGUCUCAAUAAUGUCCCAGGAUUUUCGAUAAUUGUUCGUUUUCAUUGCAGAACCUAAGAGCCAUUUUAGUAAACGAUGUAGCAUUUCGGAAUAUCGUUUACAAUGAGCUGGACCAAGACAUCGUUCCUAAAGUAAAGCAUUUGCACGAGAUGGUAUGAAUUUUGUGCGGACGGUUUGAAAAGGCGAUUUACGACCAGCAAGGAUAUCCAUCCACAAAUGAUCAAUGGCAAUUGGCCAAACAAAUCGUACGAGCAUUUCCUCAAUUGAAAACCACAAGGAUCAAUGAGAAUGCCCCGGACGAGCCCGCAUUUUUCUGGUGGCAGAGCGGCAAUAAUAGUGGCGAUCAUUCCGGCUACAUUUAUCACCGAGUUCGAAAUAUCGCAAAGCGUGUGCCAAAAGAGCUGAGGAAAU
Aedes albopictus (Asian tiger mosquito) is the source of this 605-nucleotide long non-coding RNA. RefSeq lists it as uncharacterized. The transcript is spliced from 3 exons. The record is from RefSeq and is a predicted model, not a curated record. Lineage: Eukaryota; Metazoa; Arthropoda; Insecta; Diptera; Culicidae.